This 253-nucleotide ribosomal RNA is filed under the name uncultured bacterium. RNAcentral's name for it is "partial 16S ribosomal RNA". It matches the Rfam family "Bacterial small subunit ribosomal RNA", at positions 524 to 776 of the family's 1533-position model. The record is from RNAcentral.
UACGUAGGGGGCGAGCGUUGUCCGGAUUUAUUGGGCGUAAAGAGCGUGUAGGCGGCCAGGUAGGUCUGCUGUGAAAACUCGAGGCUCAACCUCGAGACGUCGGCGGAAACCAUCUGGCUAGAGUCCGGAAGAGGAGAGUGGAAUUCCUGGUGUAGCGGUGAAAUGCGCAGAUAUCAGGAAGAACACCCGUGGCGAAGGCGGCUCUCUGGGACGGUACUGACGCUGAGACGCGAAAGCGUGGGUAGCGAACAGG